GCGAGAGUGGUGGAAUUGGUAGACACGCUGGUCUUAGGAACCAGUGCCUUCGGUAUAAGGGUUCGAGUCCCUUCUCUCGUAUCA
Molecule: transfer RNA, 84 nt
Filed under: Oceanispirochaeta crateris
Lineage: Bacteria; Pseudomonadati; Spirochaetota; Spirochaetia; Spirochaetales; Spirochaetaceae
Description: Oceanispirochaeta sp. K2 tRNA-Leu
Rfam family: tRNA
About the family: Transfer RNA (tRNA) molecules are approximately 80 nucleotides in length.
Source: RNAcentral